CUGAAAAAGGCAGCAGGCGCGCAAAUU
This 27-nucleotide unclassified non-coding RNA is filed under the name Dictyostelium discoideum. Lineage: Eukaryota; Evosea; Eumycetozoa; Dictyosteliales; Dictyosteliaceae. The record is from RNAcentral.